UGAGAUUCUUGCAGUCCAGGCAUCCACCAUCCAUGAUGGGCCCUUGACCUCGCCCACUCCACACCGACCCUAGGACUUGGAAGACACAAGGAACUCAUGUGAACACCAUGCUUAAACUGCAGCUAUUAUUUUACUGCAACUAAUAAAGUCCCUGUCUCUGACCCAGGAGUCUCAGAACUGGAGAUUGGCAGUGCCUCUAUUUGAAUGGAGGUCAUCUGACUCCCUUUGUAUCUUGGGUUCUGUUUUUCAAUAAAAA
This 256-nucleotide long non-coding RNA is filed under the name Homo sapiens (human). Its description in RNAcentral is "non-protein coding lnc-SMC1B-2:1". Lineage: Eukaryota; Metazoa; Chordata; Mammalia; Primates; Hominidae. The record is from RNAcentral.